CACCGCCGAUUGGUUAUCCUACUAGAGAUGCGAUGGUGGGUGAUCCUUCGGCAGCAGCAGUGGAGACCAAAUCCAAGGGCAUCGAACCAGCGAAAAUAACAGAAAUUUGUUGCGGAUGUUUCCAGGCACUUGGGGAAUGUCUAUCGUGAAAAUAUUGCUUAUCAGAAUCACCGUCAGCAUGAUGAGACUGAAGUCGUUCACCAAAUCAGAAAACAACACGUAAUAAAAAGAUCCAUCAAUAUGUUAUAUAUAGAUUAUAUUAUUCGUCUGUAAGGACUCCCACGUUGCAUAUUUAAGUUUAUUUGCUUCAUUGUAUGAAACGGAUCCAUGAUUCUCCUUUGUUUCGUGUAUUUUGUUUCUAUAUAUGUCAAAGAAAAAGAAGAAAAAUAGCUACGAGCUCGUAACUAUCCAAAGAAAACUA
Camelina sativa (false flax) is the source of this 421-nucleotide non-coding RNA. The record is from RefSeq and is a predicted model, not a curated record. Lineage: Eukaryota; Viridiplantae; Streptophyta; Magnoliopsida; Brassicales; Brassicaceae.